AGAGUUUGAUCAUGGCUCAGAUUGAACGCUGGCGGCAUGCCUUACACAUGCAAGUCGAACGGCAGCGCGGGGCAACCUGGCGGCGAGUGGCGAACGGGUGAGUAAUAUAUCGGAACGUACCCUGGAGUGGGGGAUAACGUAGCGAAAGUUACGCUAAUACCGCAUACGAUCUAUGGAUGAAAGUGGGGGAUUCGCAAGAACCUCAUGCUCCUGGAGCGGCCGAUAUCUGAUUAGCUAGUUGGUAGGGUAAAAGCCUACCAAGGCAUCGAUCAGUAGCUGGUCUGAGAGGACGACCAGCCACACUGGAACUGAGACACGGUCCAGACUCCUACGGGAGGCAGCAGUGGGGAAUUUUGGACAAUGGGCGCAAGCCUGAUCCAGCAAUGCCGCGUGAGUGAAGAAGGCCUUCGGGUUGUAAAGCUCUUUUGUCAGGGAAGAAACGGACUUUUCUAAUACAGAGGUCUAAUGACGGUACCUGAAGAAUAAGCACCGGCUAACUACGUGCCAGCAGCCGCGGUAAUACGUAGGGUGCAAGCGUUAAUCGGAAUUACUGGGCGUAAAGCGUGCGCAGGCGGUUUUGUAAGACUGUCGUGAAAUCCCCGGGCUCAACCUGGGAAUGGCGAUGGUGACUGCAAGGCUAGAGUUUGGCAGAGGGGGGUAGAAUUCCACGUGUAGCAGUGAAAUGCGUAGAUAUGUGGAGGAACACCGAUGGCGAAGGCAGCCCCCUGGGUCAAAACUGACGCUCAUGCACGAAAGCGUGGGGAGCAAACAGGAUUAGAUACCCUGGUAGUCC
Molecule: ribosomal RNA, 793 nt
Filed under: uncultured microorganism
Description: bacterial SSU rRNA
Rfam family: Bacterial small subunit ribosomal RNA
Source: RNAcentral